RNAcentral lists this ribosomal RNA (371 nucleotides) under uncultured bacterium. RNAcentral's name for it is "bacterial SSU rRNA". It matches the Rfam family "Bacterial small subunit ribosomal RNA", at positions 527 to 896 of the family's 1533-position model. The record is from RNAcentral.
GAAGGGUGCAAGCGUUACUCGGAAUUACUGGGCGUAAAGCGUGCGUAGGUGGUUUGUUAAGUCUGAUGUGAAAGCCCUGGGCUCAACCUGGGAACGGCAUUGGAAACUGGCUUACUAGAGUGCGGUAGAGGGGUGUGGAAUUCCCGGUGUAGCAGUGAAAUGCGUAGAUAUCGGGAGGAACAUCUGUGGCGAAGGCGACACCCUGGACCAGCACUGACACUUAGGCACGAAAGCGUGGGGAGCAAACAGGAUUAGAUACCCUGGUAGUCCACGCCCUAAACGAUGCGAACUGGAUGUUGGGUGCAAUUUGGCACUCAGUAUCGAAGCUAACGCGUUAAGUUCGCCGCCUGGGAAGUACGGUCGCAAGACUG